This 459-nucleotide ribosomal RNA is filed under the name uncultured bacterium. RNAcentral's name for it is "partial 16S ribosomal RNA". It matches the Rfam family "Bacterial small subunit ribosomal RNA", at positions 338 to 795 of the family's 1533-position model. The record is from RNAcentral.
CCUACGUGAGGCUGCAGUGAGGAAUAUUGGUCAAUGGCCGAGAGGCUGAACCAGCCAAGUCGCGUGCAGGAAGACGGCCCUACGGGUUGUAAACCUCUUUUGUCGGGGAGCAAAGCGAGUCACGUGUGACUCAUUGAGAGUACCCGAAGAAAAAGGAUCGGCUAACUCCGGGCCAGCAGCCGCGGUAAUACGGGGGAUGCGAUAGUUAUCCGGCUUUAUUGGGGUCAAGGGGUGCGCAGGCGGAGGUGCAAGUCAGCGGUCAAAUUGCGGGGCUCAACCCCGUACUGCCGUUGACACUGCAUCCCUUGAGUGCGCGAGAAGUAUGCGGAAUGUGUGGUGUAGCGGUGAAAUGCAUAGAUAUCACGCAGAACUCCGAUUGCGAAGGCAGCAUACCGGCGCGCAACUGACGCUCAUGCACGAAAGCGUGGGUAUCGAACAGGAUUAGAUACCCUUGUAGUC